RNAcentral lists this ribosomal RNA (817 nucleotides) under uncultured bacterium. RNAcentral describes it as "bacterial SSU rRNA". It matches the Rfam family "Bacterial small subunit ribosomal RNA", at positions 619 to 1433 of the family's 1533-position model. The record is from RNAcentral.
UUUUGCAGUGGNUACGGGCUAACUAGAGUGCAGUAGGGGAGACUGGAAUUCNUGGUGUAGCGGUGGAAUGCGCAGAUAUCAGGAGGAACACCGAUGGCGAAGGCAGGUCUCUGGGCUGUAACUGACGCUGAGAAGCGAAAGCAUGGGGAGCGAACAGGAUUAGAUACCCUGGUAGUCCAUGCCGUAAACGUUGGGCACUAGGUGUGGGGGACAUUCCACGUUUUCCGCGCCGUAGCUAACGCAUUAAGUGCCCCGCCUGGGGAGUACGGCCGCAAGGCUAAAACUCAAAGAAAUUGACGGGGGCCCGCACAAGCGGCGGAGCAUGCGGAUUAAUUCGAUGCAACGCGAAGAACCUUACCAAGGCUUGACAUAUACUGGACUGCGUCAGAGAUGGCGUUUCCCUUCGGGGCUGGUAUACAGGUGGUGCAUGGUUGUCGUCAGCUCGUGUCGUGAGAUGUUGGGUUAAGUCCCGCAACGAGCGCAACCCUCGUUCUAUGUUGCCAGCACGUGAUGGUGGGGACUCAUAGGAGACUGCCGGGGUCAACUCGGAGGAAGGUGGGGAUGACGUCAAAUCAUCAUGCCCCUUAUGUCUUGGGCUUCACGCAUGCUACAAUGGCCGGUACAGAGGGUUGCGAUACUGUGAGGUGGAGCUAAUCCCUAAAAGCCGGUCUCAGUUCGGAUUGGGGUCUGCAACUCGACCCCAUGAAGUCGGAGUCGCUAGUAAUCGCAGAUCAGCAACGCUGCGGUGAAUACGUUCCCGGGCCAUGUACACACCGCCCGUCAAGUCACGAAAGUUGGUAACACCCGAAGCCGGUGG